This 68-nucleotide transfer RNA is filed under the name Cygnus atratus (black swan). Its description in RNAcentral is "tRNA-Glu". It matches the Rfam family "tRNA". From Rfam's summary of the family: Transfer RNA (tRNA) molecules are approximately 80 nucleotides in length. Their secondary structure includes four short double-helical elements and three loops (D, anti-codon, and T loops). Further hydrogen bonds mediate the characteristic L-shaped molecular structure. tRNAs have two regions of fundamental functional importance: the anti-codon, which is responsible for specific mRNA codon recognition, and the 3' end, to which the tRNAs corresponding amino acid is attached (by aminoacyl-tRNA synthetases). tRNAs cope with the degeneracy of the genetic code in two manners: having more than one tRNA (with a specific anti-codon) for a particular amino acid; and 'wobble' base-pairing, i.e. permitting non-standard base-pairing at the 3rd anti-codon position. The record is from RNAcentral. Lineage: Eukaryota; Metazoa; Chordata; Aves; Anseriformes; Anatidae.
GUUCCUGUAGUUGAGAACAAUGACGGCUUUUCGAGCCGUAGGUUUCGGGUAGUGGCCGAGCAGGAAUA